GCCAGGCAUGGUGGCACGUGCUUAUAAUCCCAGCUACUCAGGAGGCUGAGGCAGGAGGACUGCAAGUUAGAGGCCCACCUGGGCAAUUUAGCAAGACCCUGUCUCAA
This 107-nucleotide small RNA is filed under the name Marmota monax (woodchuck). The record is from RNAcentral. Lineage: Eukaryota; Metazoa; Chordata; Mammalia; Rodentia; Sciuridae.